AUACGGAGGGGGCUAGCGUUGUUCGGAAUUACUGGGCGUAAAGCGCGCGUAGGCGGAUCGUUAAGUCAGGGGUGAAAGCCCGGAGCUCAACUCCGGAACUGCCCUUGAUACUGGCGAUCUAGAGUCCGGGAGAGGUGAGCGGAAUUCCUAGUGUAGAGGUGAAAUUCGUAGAUAUUAGGAGGAACACCAGUGGCGAAGGCGGCUCACUGGCCCGGUACUGACGCUGAGGUGCGAAAGCGUGGGGAGCAAACAGGAUUAGAAACCCUAGUAGUCC
RNAcentral lists this ribosomal RNA (274 nucleotides) under uncultured bacterium. RNAcentral's name for it is "partial 16S ribosomal RNA". It matches the Rfam family "Bacterial small subunit ribosomal RNA", at positions 523 to 796 of the family's 1533-position model. The record is from RNAcentral.